Oncorhynchus keta (chum salmon) is the source of this 175-nucleotide long non-coding RNA. RefSeq lists it as uncharacterized. Lineage: Eukaryota; Metazoa; Chordata; Actinopteri; Salmoniformes; Salmonidae. The record is from RefSeq and is a predicted model, not a curated record. The transcript is spliced from 3 exons.
UCACUACAACCCUGUUCCUGGAGAGAAAACCUCCUGUAAGGUUUUCACUACAACCCUGUUCCUGGAGAGAAACCCUCCUGUAAGGUUUUAACUACAACCCUGUUCCUGGAGAGAAACCCUCCUGUAAGGUUUUCACUACAACCCUGUUCCUGGAGAGAAACCCUCCUGUAAGGUU